RNAcentral lists this ribosomal RNA (711 nucleotides) under Urticina grebelnyi. RNAcentral's name for it is "eukaryotic LSU rRNA". Lineage: Eukaryota; Metazoa; Cnidaria; Anthozoa; Actiniaria; Actiniidae. The record is from RNAcentral.
CGGAAGGAUCAUUACCGAUCAUUCAAAAGACGCAGUCUUUUACACCGCGAACCGUACGAAGGAUUGGGGGUCGCCCCGUCGAGGGCGUCAAACGAUGGGAGCGAUAUCGAUUUCCACGGCCCCCGACGUUCCAUUUUUUUCACAAACAAACAAACCUAUGCCACAGAGAAAUCGCAGGGCACUAGCUGCCMGGCGAAAAAAUCCAAAAAAGUUCAUAACUUUUAACGGUGGAUCUCUUGGCUCGUGCAUCGAUGAAGAACGCAGCCRGGUGCGAUAAGUAGUGUGAAUUGCARAAUUCAGUGAAUCAUCGAAUCUUUGAACGCAAAUGGCGCUCUUGGGUUUUCCCAGGAGCACGUCUGUCUGAGUGUCGGUUUCCAAAGAACUGCGCAACGCGUCUUCCGAGGCGCCUGCGGUCUUGAGGCGUCGCGGCCCCUACCCAUGAAAAUGUGAAGGGCUGCCGCGUCCCUCGAAGUGAAGCACGACCGAAGCGAGCGACUCGGGUCGCCGCUCUCGGGGAGGCCAAAAGCAACUUUGCCCUUCCUCGAGGCGGCCCGGGAAGCUCGGCGYCGCGUCGCGGUCGGCGAGGGGGCGAGCCGAGAGGCUCUCUCUCUCCAACAACGCUCMAAUCUUGACCUCAGAUCAGGCGAGGCUACCCGCUGAAUUUAAGCAUAUUAAUAAGCGGAAAAAAAAGAAAUAACAAGGUCCCCAGUA